GGACUGUGACUCAGUGGUAGAGUGCUCGCCUAGCACACGUGAGAUGCUGGGUUCGAUCAUCAGCACCA
Molecule: transfer RNA, 68 nt
Filed under: Marmota monax (woodchuck)
Lineage: Eukaryota; Metazoa; Chordata; Mammalia; Rodentia; Sciuridae
Description: tRNA.Ala
Source: RNAcentral